AUGAAUCACAGCCCGGAGAUACUUUGUUGGAAUGUGUGUGGGCUUAAUGACCCCGCAAAACAGAAGGCUAUUAGGGAUUUCUUAGCUACGAUUAAGGUGAAUCUCGUGUGUCUACAAGAGACUAAUCUAGAUGUAAUUGACCAGUUUAUGGUGAUACAAUGCUUAGGCCCAUCCUUCGACAACGUUUCUUACUUGCCGGCUGUUGAGACGAGAGGAGGAAUCCUCCUUGCCUGGGACUCAACCAUCCUCACGGUAGAUCAUAUCAAUCUUGAUAAUAACUCGCUAAUGGGAUACGUACGCACCAAGGAUGGGAGCAACUGGUGGCUGACAAUGGUGUAUGCGCCUCAAGGGGACAAGCUCAAGACUCAAUUUUUGUUGGAGUUGGCAGCAAGGAGAGAGAAUUGCCCUGGCCCUUGGAUGCCUCUUGGGGACUUUAAUAUGAUCCUCAGGGCGAGUGAGAAGAAUAACAACAACAUUAACCGCGGCAUGAUGAACAAGUUUUGGAGCUUUGUGGAGGAGCAGGAGCUGAAGGAAAUGUACAUGCACGGGCGCAUGUAUACCUGGUGCAACGAGAGCGAUGCCCCCACACUCACCAAAAUUGACAGGGCUUUGGCUUCCAUUGACUGGGAGUUGACAUAUCCUGAUCAUCUUCUCCAAGCUCUGUCGACUAGCAUCUCAGAUCACACGCCUAUGCACAUAUCGACGAGCACACAUUUCUACCUGAAAAAGCGCUUUCACUUCGAGAUCUACUAG
Molecule: ribosomal RNA, 753 nt
Filed under: Triticum aestivum (bread wheat)
Lineage: Eukaryota; Viridiplantae; Streptophyta; Magnoliopsida; Poales; Poaceae
Description: partial small subunit ribosomal RNA
Source: RNAcentral